CGAGUGGCGAACGGGUGAGUAAUAUAUCGGAACGUGCCCAGUUGUGGGGGAUAACUACUCGAAAGAGUGGCUAAUACCGCAUGAGACCUGAGGGUGAAAGCGGGGGAUCGCAAGACCUCGCGCAAUUGGAGCGGCCGAUAUCAGAUUAGCUAGUUGGCGGGGUAAAAGCCCACCAAGGCGACGAUCUGUAGCUGGUCUGAGAGGACGACCAGCCACACUGGGACUGAGACACGGCCCAGACUCCUACGGGAGGCAGCAGUGGGGAAUUUUGGACAAUGGGGGCAACCCUGAUCCACCCAUUCCGCGUGAGUGAAGAAGGCCUUCGGGUUGUAAAGCUCUUUUGUCGGGGACGAAACGGUUACGAUUAAUACUCGUGACAACUGACGGUACCCGAAGAAUAAGCACCGGCUAACUACGUGCCAGCAGCCGCGGUAAUACGUAGGGUGCGAGCGUUAAUCGGAAUUACUGGGCGUAAAGCGUGCGCAGGCGGUUUUGUAAGCCAGAUGUGAAAUCCCCGGCCUUAACCUGGGAAUGGCAUUUGGGACUGCAAGGCUAGAGUAUGGCAGAGGAGACUAGAAUUUCUGGUGUAGCAGUGAAAUGCGUACAUAUCAAAAGGAAUACCGAUGGCGAAGGCAGGUCUCUGGGUCAAUACUGACCCCUCAUGCACGAAAGCGUGGGGAGCAAACCAGGAUUAAAUACCCUGGUAGUCCACCCCCUAAACGAUGUCAACUGGUUGUUGGGAGAUUUAUUCUCUUAGUAACAAAGCUAACCCCUGAAGUUGACCCCCUGGGGAGUACGGUCCCCAAAAUAAAACUCCAAGGAUUUGACGGGGGCCCCGCCCAGCCGGUGGAUGAUUGGGAUUAAUUCGAU
RNAcentral lists this ribosomal RNA (870 nucleotides) under uncultured bacterium. RNAcentral describes it as "bacterial SSU rRNA". It matches the Rfam family "Bacterial small subunit ribosomal RNA", at positions 92 to 955 of the family's 1533-position model. The record is from RNAcentral.